This 353-nucleotide ribosomal RNA is filed under the name uncultured bacterium. RNAcentral describes it as "bacterial SSU rRNA". It matches the Rfam family "Bacterial small subunit ribosomal RNA", at positions 543 to 896 of the family's 1533-position model. The record is from RNAcentral.
AUCCGGAAUAUUGGGCGUAAAGAGCUCGUGGCGGUUCGUCGCGUCUGCCGUGAAAGUCCGAGGCUCAACCUCGGAUCUGCGGUGGGUACGGCAGACUAGAGUGAUGUAGGGGAGACUGGAAUUCCUGGUGUAGCGGUGAAAUGCGCAGAUAUCAGGAGGAACACCGAUGGCGAAGGCAGGUCUCUGGGCAUUUACUGACGCUGAGGAGCGAAAGCAUGGGGAGCGAACAGGAUUAGAUACCCUGGUAGUCCAUGCCGUAAACGUUGGGCACUAGGUGUGGGGGACAUUCCACGUUUUCCGCGCCGUAGCUAACGCAUUAAGUGCCCCGCCUGGGGAGUACGGCCGCAUAGCUA